AUGGAGAAAAAAAUUCAAACUGUUGCCCGGAUUUCUUACUCUGUUAGAAUCCUUAUAGCAAACUACACUUCUGCGGCCGCCCCUAAAGCUAAGUGGAAAACAGGAGGAUGGGAAUUAUCGCCUAGAGGACACGUGAAAUUGAAUGUUGAUGCCUCCUUUAACCAUGAUUUGCUCGAAGGGACGGCAGGUGCAAUAAACAUAGAUGACAGAGAGGCAAAUAUGGUCGCCCAUGAACUAGCAAAUUUGGCUAAGAGAUCUUUAUGUAAUAGUUUCUUCGAGGAGCCUCCUAGAGAACUUAUCCCACUUUUACUCAGCGAUAUAACUCUUCUAACACCGUAA
This 339-nucleotide ribosomal RNA is filed under the name Triticum aestivum (bread wheat). RNAcentral's name for it is "partial small subunit ribosomal RNA". Lineage: Eukaryota; Viridiplantae; Streptophyta; Magnoliopsida; Poales; Poaceae. The record is from RNAcentral.